UGAGGAAUAUUGCACAAUGGGCGCAAGCCUGAUGCAGCGACGCCGCGUGGGUGAUGAAGGUCUUCGGAUCGUAAAGCCCUUUUUCUGCGUGACGAGACAGGACGGUAGCGCAGGAAUAAGUCUCGGCUAACUACGUGCCAGCAGCCGCGGUAAAACGUAGGAGACAAACGUUAUCCGGAGUUACUGGGCGUAAAGGGCGUGUAGGCGGUAUGUUAAGUCUGGCGUGAAAGCUCUCGGCUAAACCGGGAGAGGUCGUUGGAUACUGGCAAACUAGAGGAUGGUAGAGGCGUGUGGAAUUCCGGGUGUAGUGGUGAAAUGCGUAGAGAUCCGGAGGAACACCAGUGGCGAAGGCGACACGCUGGGCCAUACCUGACGCUAAAGCGCGACAGCAUGGGGAGCAAACGGGAUUAGAUACCCCGGUAGUCCCUGAGCGGGCUGGCAAGGCGCAU
Molecule: ribosomal RNA, 449 nt
Filed under: uncultured bacterium
Lineage: Bacteria
Description: bacterial SSU rRNA
Rfam family: Bacterial small subunit ribosomal RNA
Source: RNAcentral